UCAAGCUACUAAGAGCGCAUGGUGAAUGCCUUGGCAGUUGGAGGCUACGAAGGGCGCAGUCAGCUGCGAUAAGCGCCGGAGAGCUGCAAACAAGCUUUGAUCCGGCGGUACCCGAAUGGGAGAACCCGUACGGAGUCAUGUCCGUACAUCGCCGCGUGAAUUCAUAGCGCGGCGAAGCCAACCCGGAGAAGUGAAACAUCUCAGUAACCGGAGGAAAAGAAAGAACCUCGAUUCCCCAAGUAGUGGCGAGCGAACGGGGAACAGCCUAAACCGAUUCCAGUGUCAAGCCGGCAGGCGUUGCUGGAGCGGUGUCGUGGGAGCGACCUGACCUACUGCCGUGAGGUCAAGGAGUUACAAAGGUUGCCUUUUAGUCGAAGACCCCUGGAAAGGGACACCAAAGACGGUGAUAGUCCGGUAGGCAACAAUCGGCAACCCUCCUGGUCGUUUCCCAAGUACCACGGAGCACGAGAAACCUCGUGGGAAUCCCGGACGACCACGUCCUAAGGCUAAAUACUACCAACUGACCGAUAGUGCACUAGUACCGUGAGGGAAAGGUGAAAAGAACCCCUGGCGGGGAGUGAAAUAGAACCUGAAACCAUGUGCUUACAAUCAGCGGGAGCUAGCCGAACCCUUUCCGCAAGGUUCGGGUCGGCUGUGACCGCGUGCCUUUUGCAUAAUGAUCCGGCGAGUGUGCGUAUGCAGCAAGGCUAAGGUUCACAUGAACUGUAACCGUAGCGAAAGCGAGUCCUAAUUGGGCGUCAGUUGCAUGCGCCCGGCCCGAAACCCGGUGAUCUACCCAUGGCCAGGUUGAACUCUCGGUAACACGAGAGGGAGGACCGAACCGGUGAUCCUUGCAAUAAUCUCGGAUGAGCUGUGGGUUGGAGUGAAAGGCUAAUCAAACCGGGUGAUAGCUGGUUCUCUCCGAAAUGCCUUUAGGGGCAGUCUGUCGCGUUCAGUUGCGGAGGUAGAGCACUGGAUGGGCGCUCUCUCACAAUGUGAGAGAAAACCCGACCAAACUCCGAAUACCGCAACUCCAGAGCGGCGGAAAGAGGCUAUGAGCUCUAAGGUCCAUGGCCGAGAGGGGAAUAACCCAGACCGCCGGCUAAGGCCCCGAAGUGUAUGCUAAGUCGAAAAAGAGGUGAGGCUACUCAGACAGCUGGGAUGUUGGCUUAGAAGCAGCAAUCAUUUAAAGAGUGCGUAACAGCUCACCAGUCGAGUGGUCUUGCGCUGAAAAUUUAUCGGGGGUCAAGCAUACCGCCGAAGCCGCGGACUCGUAGCAAUACGAGUGGUAGGAGAGCGUUCUGUUGUAGGUCGAAGGUGCACGGCGACGUGUGCUCGACGAAGCAGAAGUGAGCAUGCCGGAACGAGUAGCGUAAAAUCAGGUGAAAAACCUGGUCACCGAAAGCCCAAGGUUUUCUGGGGAAGGUUAAUCCGCCCAGAGUUAGUCGGUACCUAAGCCGAGGCUGAAAAGCGUAGGUGAUGGACAUCCGGUCAACAUUCCGGAACCACCUUGGCGCCGUUAUGAGCUAAGGGGUGACGCAGAAGGUAAAGCCCGGCCCCGUGUUGGAUCGGGGUCUAAGCCAUGGCGAUGGGGCGUUGGCAAAUCCGCGCCCGUAAGUCGCUGUGGCGAAUGGGACGCUCCCGCAAGGGAGCGGAACCGGGUCAAACCGACUGCCGAGAAAACCCUCUAUGCCAGGCGUCCGGGUGACCGUACCGUAAACCGACACUGGUGGGUGAGGAGAAUAUCCAUAGGUGCUCGGGUGACCUCUUGUUAAGGAACUCGGCAAUCUAGCCCCGUAACUUCGGAAUAAGGGGUGCCGGCGCAAGCCGGCCGCAGUGAAGUGGCACUACCGACUGUUUAACAAAAACACAGGUCUCUGCUAAGCCGUGAAGGCGAUGUAUAGGGACUGACACCUGCCCGGUGCCGGAAGGUUAAGGAAGGGGGUCAGCUUCCGCAAGGAGGCGAAGCUCUCGACCGAAGCCCCGGUAAACGGCGGCCGUAACUCUAACGGUCCUAAGGUAGCGAAAUUCCUUGUCGGGUAAGUUCCGACCUGCACGAAUGGUGUAACGAU
RNAcentral lists this ribosomal RNA (2072 nucleotides) under sediment metagenome. RNAcentral describes it as "bacterial LSU rRNA". It matches the Rfam family "Bacterial large subunit ribosomal RNA", at positions 3 to 2008 of the family's 2925-position model. The record is from RNAcentral.